UCCGCACUCGCAGUCCGGACAGGGAAGGAGGCCUGAGCGGGACCCGUGGGAUUUGCGCUGCGGUAGAACAAGCUGGGGGAGUGUGGAGAAAGCGCGGCGAGAAGAGAAGGCUUCCUGGCGGAGGGCCAGCUUCUCCCAGAUGAAAGAUGGCCUGGAGAUGUGAGGGGUGUUAUUGUGUCUGGCCGGCCCCGGCCGAGUGUCCACAGCCCUCACUCGCCGGCCUCCCAGCACUGGCUGCUGAAACUUUUGGUCAAGAAGCUUUUCACAGAUGCUCAACACAGAAAACAGAAACA
Molecule: long non-coding RNA, 293 nt
Organism: Eubalaena glacialis (North Atlantic right whale)
Lineage: Eukaryota; Metazoa; Chordata; Mammalia; Artiodactyla; Balaenidae
Exons: 3
Source: RefSeq, a predicted model, not a curated record